Molecule: transfer RNA, 74 nt
Filed under: Marmota monax (woodchuck)
Lineage: Eukaryota; Metazoa; Chordata; Mammalia; Rodentia; Sciuridae
Description: tRNA.Ala
Source: RNAcentral
GGGGUUGUGGCUCAGUGGUAGAGCGCUUUCCUAGCAUGUUCAAGGAGGCCCUGGGUUCGAUCCUCAGCACCACA